RNAcentral lists this ribosomal RNA (1941 nucleotides) under Candidatus Gottesmanbacteria bacterium. Its description in RNAcentral is "bacterial SSU rRNA". It matches the Rfam family "Bacterial small subunit ribosomal RNA". Lineage: Bacteria; Candidatus Gottesmaniibacteriota. The record is from RNAcentral.
UUUUUUGAGAGUUUGAUCCUGGCUCAGGAUGAACGCUGGCGGCGUGCCUUAUGCAUGCAAGUCGUGCGAGCGUAGCUCGCAACACCCAGCCUUCAACAAACAACAUACAACUUUGUUAUGAUACGUAUAUGGCUUUUCGAUUUCUAAAAUUUAAAGUCUAUCAGGAUGCCAAAAUACUUCAUAGAAAAGUUGUACAGGUGACAAAAAAAUUUCCAAGUGAAUUUUAUUACCUUAAAGAUCAAAUACGGAGAAGUUCUCUUUCUAUUAUUCUUCAAAUCGCCGAAGGUUCGGCAAAAAGAUCAGAUAAAGACUUUAACAGAUAUAUAGAAAUGGGAAUGGGUUCUGCAAAUGAAACGUCUGCAGCAUUAGACGUGAGUUAUGAACUUGGAUUCAUCACAGAAUUUGAACAUAAAGAACUCCUACUAAUUUGUGAAGAGGUGGUGAAUCAACUUGGAGGUUUGUCAAAAACGUUGUUAGUUGUUGGUUGAGUGUUGUGAGUUGCGCGAGCGGCGGACGGGUGAGGAUAAGCAAGGAACGUACCUCGAACUUCAGUAUAGCUCGUCGAAAGACGGGGUAAUGCGGAAUGUGGACGCAAGUCUAAAGGGCGUAACAACCCGGUUUGAGAGCGGCCUUGUGGCUAUCAGCUAGUUGGUAGGGUAAAGGCCUACCAAGGCGAUGACGGCUAGGGGGCGUGAGAGCGCGACCCCCCACAAUGGCACUGAGACACGGGCCAUACAACUACGGUUGGCAGCAACAGGGAAUAGUCGGCAAUGGACGAAAGUCUGACCGCGCGACGCCGCGUGAGGGAUGAAGGCUCUCGGGUCGUAAACCUCUUUUGUUCUGUCGUCGAGACAGAAAGAAUAAGCACCUACAAACUACGUGCCAGCAGUCGCGGUAAUACGUAGGGUGCAAGCGUUAUCCGGAUUCACUGGGCGUAAAGUGUCGUGUAGGCGGUAACCCGCAUCGUGCUUGAAAGCCCGAGGCUUAACCUCGGCGUUGGGCACGAGAUGGGGUCACUUGAGGGAGGCAGAGGAACGGGGAACUCAUGGUGAAGCAGUGAAAUGCGUUGAUAUCAUGAGGAACACCAAAGGCGAAGGCACCGUUCUGGGCCUCUCCUGACGCUGAGACACGAAAGCUAGGGGAGCGAAGCAGAUUAGAGACCUGCGUAGUCCUAGCCCUAAACGCAUGCCUGCUAGUUGCCCCGAGCAAUCGGGGUGACGUAAGCUAACGCGUUAAGCAGGCCGCCUGGGGAGUACGAUCGCAAGAUUAAAACUCAAAGGAAUUGACGGGGACCCGCACAACCGGUGGAGCGUGUGGUUCAAUUCGAGACAAAGCGAAAGACCUCACCAGGUCUUGACAUGCUACCGUUUUAGUCUCCUAGAAAUAGGGGAUGAUCCGCAAGGAUGGUAGCACAGCUGCUGCAUGGUUGUCGUCAGCUCGUGCCGUGGGGUGUUCCCUUAAGUGGGAGAACGAGCGCAACCCGUAUGCGAUGUUACAAGUGUCAUCGCAGACCGCCCGCUCUCAAAGCGCAGACGCUUUGAGAGAAUUAUCCAAUAAUCCAAUAGUCAAAUAAUCCAAUUUCCAAUAAAAUGCAAAAAGUUUUAUUGGUAUUUAUUGGAUAAUUUGAAAUUGGAUAAUUGGUAGUAUUCUCUCAAAAUGCUCCGCAUUUUGAGAGCGGGAGGAAGGAACGGACGACGUCAAAUCAGCACGGCGCUUAUGACCUGGGCCACACACACCCUACAAUGGCGAAGAACAAUGGGACGCGAGGUAGUAAUGCCAAGCAAAUCUCCAUGAAAUUUCGCCUCAGUUCAGAUUGAGGGCUGCAACUCGCCCUCAUGAAGUCGGAAUCGGUAGUAAUCGCAGAUCAGCAGGCUGCGGUGAAUACGUUCUCGGGUCUUGUACACACCGCCCGUCAAGCCAACAAAGUUGGAGGCGGCCGAA